Molecule: ribosomal RNA, 422 nt
Filed under: uncultured bacterium
Lineage: Bacteria
Description: bacterial SSU rRNA
Rfam family: Bacterial small subunit ribosomal RNA
Source: RNAcentral
UGAGGAAUAUUGGGCAAUGCCCGCAAGUGUGACCCAGCAACGCCGCGUGGAGGAUGAAUGUCGUAAGAUUGUAAACUCCUGUUAGAGGGGAAGAAUAGUACCGGUUGGACCGGUAUAUGACUGUACCCUCAGAGAAAGCCCCGGCUAACUACGUGCCAGCAGCCGCGGUAAUACGUAGGGGGCAAGCGUUGUCCGGAUUUACUGGGUGUAAAGGGCGCGCAGGCGGGAUAAAAAGUCAGUGGUGAAAUCCUACAGCUUAACUGUAGAACUGCCUUUGAUACUUUUAUUCUUGAGUUCGGGAGAGAGAGACGGAAUUCCAGGUGUAGUGGUGAAAUACGUAGAUAUCUGGAAGAACACCAGUUGCGAAGGCGGUCUCUUGGUCCGACACUGACGCUGAGGCGCGAAAGCGUGGGGAGCAAACA